AUGCUGCUCCGAGACGCCUUGUUUUCCUUUUCUCUUCGGCCACAGUUGCAUCGACCCUCAUACAGAGCACCGGGGUACUGGUUGUUUUGUUUGCGGGUGCUUCGUUUGUUGCUUCAGAGAAACAUCGCCAAGACCGUAUCGGAUUAUGACAAGUACCACUACACCUGGAGAUGUAAUGAGUACCCCUACGGAAGACCCGAACGUCUACGAAUCGUGUACGACUACAGCCGGUGUGCAUUUUUGUCAAGUCCGACUACGACAAAUGACUACACGAUGGGACGCCAAGUACUACUACACCCGGAGACCUCGAACCCGUCAAGUCCGACAACGAUUGUGUACAACUACCGAUGA
Molecule: ribosomal RNA, 351 nt
Filed under: Triticum aestivum (bread wheat)
Lineage: Eukaryota; Viridiplantae; Streptophyta; Magnoliopsida; Poales; Poaceae
Description: partial small subunit ribosomal RNA
Source: RNAcentral